Non-coding RNA from Labrus bergylta (ballan wrasse), 742 nucleotides. NCBI's taxonomy places the organism in Eukaryota, Metazoa, Chordata, Actinopteri, Labriformes, Labridae. The record is from RefSeq and is a predicted model, not a curated record.
UAGUGUUGUCUACAAAAUGUUUAUAUUGAACAUGUUGAAACUGUGUGAGGUUCUACAUAGUUAAUGUUCUCAUCAUGUUUGUUUCUCUUCAGAACCGGAUGAGUGAGUUCGGUGCUUGGCAGCGUUCCAGGGACAGAACAGAGAACGUUCUCUCUGGAACCAUGUUUUUUUUUGGACAGAUUGGACAUCAAUGGAACAGAUUGUUUUUGUUUUUUUAAAUAAUUCGACUUAAACCAUCAUGAAGCGAUCUGUGACACCAGAAAGACUCCAUCAGUCCAAAGUGUUCAUGAUUACUGAACAGAGACAUUAGACAAACAUUAAAGCUCCUUUAAUCAAUGAUGACAUAUCAACAUUUAAAAAGUCAAACAGCAGAAACUUCAUGGAGCUUUACGAGCUAGAUGUGAUUAUUAGAAAUGUUCAUAUUUGAUUCAUGUAAAUAAUUUUUCUAAUGUUUUAGAGGAUUAGCCCAAUGAUUGUAAUGACUAAUAAAUGAUGUAAAGGUUAGGGUUAAGAUUAAAUUCUCUUCAGGUGCACGUCCACAAAGCCACUUACAAGAAAGAAGCCGUUUAAGGACAUUGAGUGUGCUGUCUCUUCUCUCUUCUACUUCUAAAUGAUGUUAAUAAAAUACACAAAUGUCAAAUAUGAUAUGAACACAUAACUCCACCAGAUGAACCCUGUUUUUAAAAACCGAGCUCAGUAUCUCUGUUCACCUUUUAAACAAUAAAAGUGAUGAUAAAGUGUU